Molecule: ribosomal RNA, 732 nt
Filed under: uncultured archaeon
Lineage: Archaea
Description: bacterial SSU rRNA
Rfam family: Archaeal small subunit ribosomal RNA
Source: RNAcentral
CGGGGCGCAGCAGGCGCGAAACCUUUACAAUGCACGCAAGUGUGAUAAGGGAAUCCUAAGUGCUUAGGUUUUACCUAGGCUUUUGCCAAAUGUAAAUAGUUUGGAGAAUAAGUGGUGGGCAAGACUGGUGCCAGCCGCCGCGGUAGCACCAGCGUCCACGAGCGGCAACCAUCAUUAUUGGGCCUAAAGCGUCCGUAGCCGGUUUGGUAGAUUCUUUGUGAAAUUGUGAAGCUCAACUUUACAACGUGCAGAGGAGACCGCUAAACUUGGAACCGGGAGGGGUUAGAGGUAUUCGUGGGGGAGCGGUAAAAUGUUAUAAUCCCUUGAAGACCACCUGUGGGGAAGGCGUCUAACCAGAACGGAUUCGACGGUGAGGGACGAAAGCUAGGGGAGCAAUCCGGAUUAGAUACCCGAGUAGUCCUAGCAGUAAACUCUGCGAGCUAGGUGUUACACAUUCUUCGUGAAUGUGUAGUGUCCAAGCGAAGGUGUUAAGCUCGCCGCCUGGGAAGUAUGGUCGCAAGACUGAAACUUAAAGGAAUUGGCGGGGGAGCACUACAAGGGGUGCGGCGUGCGGUUUAAUCUAAUUCAACACAGAGAAUCUCACCAGAAGCGACGGCAGGAAGAAGGUCAGUUUAAAGGGCUUACCUGACGAGCCGAGAGGUAGUGCAUGGCCGCCGUCAGCUCGUGCCGUAAGGUGUCCUGUUAAGUCAGGCAACGAGCGAGACCCGCGCC